GUGUUCCUACGGGAGGCAGCAGUGGGGAAUUUUGGACAAUGGGCGCAAGCCUGAUCCAGCUAUUCCGCGUGUGGGAUGACGGCCCUCGGGUUGUAAACCACUUUAGUGGAGAACGAAAAGGAGCUAUCGAAUAAAUAGCUCUGCUGACGGUACUCUAAGAAUAAGCACCGGCUAACUACGUGCCAGCAGCCGCGGUAAUACGUAGGGUGCGAGCGUUAAUCGGAAUUACUGGGUGUAAAGGGUGCGCAGGCGGCUCUGCAAGUCAGGCGUGAAAGCUAGGGGCUCAACCCCUAAACUGCGCUUGA
This 305-nucleotide ribosomal RNA is filed under the name uncultured bacterium. RNAcentral describes it as "bacterial SSU rRNA". It matches the Rfam family "Bacterial small subunit ribosomal RNA", at positions 333 to 630 of the family's 1533-position model. The record is from RNAcentral.